This 289-nucleotide long non-coding RNA is filed under the name Rattus norvegicus (Norway rat). RNAcentral's name for it is "long non-coding RNA NONRATT027822". Lineage: Eukaryota; Metazoa; Chordata; Mammalia; Rodentia; Muridae. The record is from RNAcentral.
AAAGAAGAAGAAAAAGGUAAACAUAAUAGGCAUGGUCUUGCUGACCUCUCAGAACCGCAGCUGAGGACUCUUUGCAUAGAGGUGUGGCCCGUGCUAGCAGUGAUAGGAGGAGUUGAUGCUGGUCUUAGAGUUGGAGGUCGGUGUGUUCACAAGCAAACUGGGCGCCAUGCCACGCUGCUGGGAGUGGUCAAAGAAGGCAGCACAUCUGCCAAGGUCCAGUGGGAUGAAGCAGAAAUUACCAUCAGAAUCAACACUGCCAGGUGUGGAAUCCCAACAUCAAAUAACAGAA